This is a non-coding RNA of Pantherophis guttatus, 162 nucleotides long. Lineage: Eukaryota; Metazoa; Chordata; Lepidosauria; Squamata; Colubridae. The record is from RefSeq and is a predicted model, not a curated record.
AUAAAGAGGCGGUGUGCAUAACCGUUCCCAUCCAGAAUUGUGAGCUGGCACUGCAGCAAGAGCACUGCAAAUAAAUCAAGAAAGAAGAGGAUCUGGGAAUUUAAAAAUAUUUUCAGUAACAAAGGAAUAGCUACUAUUCAUUAAAUAAAAGAUAAUAAUUCA